UACGUAGGACGCAAGCGUUAUCCGGAGUUACUGGGCGUAAAGCGCGGGCAGGCGGUCUUGCCAGUCUGAUGUGAAAUCUCUCAGCUCAACUGGGAGCAGCCAUUGGAAACUACAAGACUGGAGUCUGACAGAGGUAGGCGGAAUUCCGGGUGGAGUGGUGAAAUGCGUAGAGAUCCGGAGGAACACCAGAGGCGAAGGCGGCCUACUGGGUCAGUACUGACGCUGAGCCGCGAAAGCCAGGGGAGCGAACGGG
RNAcentral lists this ribosomal RNA (253 nucleotides) under uncultured bacterium. RNAcentral describes it as "partial 16S ribosomal RNA". It matches the Rfam family "Bacterial small subunit ribosomal RNA", at positions 524 to 776 of the family's 1533-position model. The record is from RNAcentral.